This 331-nucleotide long non-coding RNA is filed under the name Ananas comosus (pineapple). RNAcentral's name for it is "long non-coding RNA (ACOM_LNC012801)". The record is from RNAcentral. Lineage: Eukaryota; Viridiplantae; Streptophyta; Magnoliopsida; Poales; Bromeliaceae.
UAUUAUUUUAGUACCUUAUAUAUUUUUUUUUGUUAUUUUUUUUGUUAAUAUUUUUAUUAAAUCAAUAAAAAAGUUAAAAUUAUAGGAUAGUAAAAUAAAAAUUUCGUAAAUCAUAUAAUAUUAAAGUGAAUAUUCGAUAAACCACAUAAGGUACCUAAAGUUUUUUUCAUAUAUUUUAAUAAAAAGUUAAGAGAAACUAACAGAAAGAGAAAAAUAAAAUCAUAAAAUGCUAAGAUGAUGCAUUUUAAACUACGAGAUACUAAAAUAAGAAAGCGCCGAACUAUAGAAAAAUAUUUGAAGUUUUUUUCUAAAACAAAAGGAAAGAUCUGUG